This 497-nucleotide ribosomal RNA is filed under the name uncultured bacterium. RNAcentral's name for it is "partial 16S ribosomal RNA". It matches the Rfam family "Bacterial small subunit ribosomal RNA", at positions 28 to 507 of the family's 1533-position model. The record is from RNAcentral.
GAUGAACGCUGGCGGCGUGCCUAAUACAUGCAAGUCGAGCGAACGGACGAGAAGCUUGCUUCUCUGAUGUUAGCGGCGGACGGGUGAGUAACACGUGGAUAACCUACCUAUAAGACUGGGAUAACUUCGGGAAACCGGAGCUAAUACCGGAUGAUAUUUUGAACCGCAUGGUUCAAAAGUGAAAGACGGUCUUGCUGUCACUUAUAGAUGGAUCCGCGCUGCAUUAGCUAGUUGGUAAGGUAACGGCUUACCAAGGCAACGAUGCAUAGCCGACCUGAGAGGGUGAUCGGCCACACUGGAACUGAGACACGGUCCAGACUCCUACGGGGGGCAGCAGUAGGGAAUCUUCCGCAAUGGGCGAAAGCCUGACGGAGCAACGCCGCGUGAGUGAUGAAGGUCUUCGGAUCGUAAAACUCUGUUAUUAGGGAAGAACAUAUGUGUAAGUAACUGUGCACAGCUUGACGGUACCUAAUCAGAAAGCCACGGCUAACUACGUG